GUUUCUAGGGUGUACAGCACAUUAAGUUUUCAUCUUGAAGGAAUGACAUAAGUCAUUAGAAAUA
Molecule: transfer RNA, 64 nt
Filed under: Pseudocleopatra dartevellei
Lineage: Eukaryota; Metazoa; Mollusca; Gastropoda; Paludomidae
Description: tRNA-Glu
Source: RNAcentral